GCAAUAUAAGAGCGUACGGUGAAUGCCUUGAUACUAUUGAACGAAGAAGGACGUAGCAAUCUGCGAUAAGCUUCGGUGAGGUGAUAAGCAACCUUUGACCCGGAGAUUUCCGAAUGGGGGAACCCAGUUUCGAUGAAAAUCGAAAUUAUUUCUAUGAUUAACGUCAUAGAGAAGAAGACCUGGUGAAGUGAAACAUCUCAGUAGCCAGAGGAAAAGAAAACGAAUUUUUACUGAUUUUCAUUCAUUGAUCACACUUCGGUGUGGUCCGUGAAAUGAAGAUCUGUAAUGUGAUUCCCUUAGUAGUGGCGAGCGAAAGGGGAAGAGUCUAAACCUAUACAGUGUUGUAUUAUUUUACACUGAUAUCUUCGGAUAUUUUUGGGAAUAAUACUUAAAGGACAGGCCGUUGCUGUAUAGGUGUUGCAAGAUGCGACAUCGGAUACCUGUUAUGCCGAAUAUAUAUAGUUAUUUAUAGUUGAAUAUUCCUGGAAAGGAAAACCAAAGACGGUGAUAGUCCCGUAAACGAAAUUUAUUUCUAUAUAUAUUGUUGUAUUCUUAAGUACGGCGGAACACGAGAAAUUCCGUCGGAACCAAGGCCGACUAUGGUCUAAGACUAAAUAUCAAUAGUAAUCGAUAGUGAACAAGUACCAUGAGGGAAAGGUGAAAAGCAGCCCGGAGAGGGCGAUGAAAUAGAUUCUGAAACCGUAUGCUUACAAUGAGCCGGAGCCGCCAUAUGUCGCUUGCGAUAUAUGGAAAGGUGACGGUAUUCCUAUUGAAGAAUGAGCCUGCGAGUUAUUUUACGUGGCAAGGUUAAGACCUUUUGGGUAAUAGCCAUAGGGAAACCAAGUCUGAAUAGGGCGUUAAGUCGCGUGAAAUAAACCCGAAACCGGGUGAGCAAUCCAUGGCCAGGAUGAAGGUUAUCGAAAGAUAACUGGAGGUCCGAACACACGCACCGUGCAACAUGCGGUGAUGAGCUGUGGAUAGCGGAGAAAUUCCAAUCGAACUCGGUAAUAGCUGGUUCUCCUCGAAAUAGCUUUAGGGCUAGCUGUAUGUGUUCCCGUUGGGGGUAGAGCACUGGAUGAGAGUUGGGCGGUUCGCCGUACCAUUUUCAAUCAAACUCCGAAUACCAACGAUUAAAAACAUGCAAGUCAGACCAUGGGGGCUAAGCUCCAUAGGUCAAAAGGGAAACAGCCCAGAUCGCAAACUAAGGUCCCUAAAUUAUCACUAAGUGUAGAACGUGGUGCAAAUUCUUAUACAACCAGGAGGUUGGCUUAGAAGCAGCCAUCCUUUAAAGAUAGCGUAAUAGCUCACUGGUCAAGAGUUUGUGCGCGGAAAAUGUACCGGGGCUAAGUGAUAUACCGAAGUUGCGGGUUGCGACAGAAAAUUACGUAUUUUAAUUUUUGAAGCAUAAUACUUUUUCGUUAAAAAAAUCUAAAAGAUUUUUUUAACUAAAAUAAAUAAGCUAAGUGAUAAGAUUAAAAUAUGGAGUUUUCUGUCGCAGCGGUAGAGGAGCAUUCCUAACAGCAGUGAAGCCGUACCCGCGAGGGAUGGUGGAGUGUUGGGAAGUGAGAAUGCAGGCACAAGUAGCACAAAUGCCGGUGAAAGUCCGGCACGCCGAAAACCUAAGGUUUCCAGGGCCACGAGAAUCGUCCCUGGGUUAGUCGAUCCUAAGGCCAGCCUAUCGCAAGGUAGGGUAACCGAUGGAAGAGCAGGUUAAUAUUCCUGCACUUAGUAUGGUUUGUUAUUAUAUGCGCAUCUCAGAUGUAUGAGCGUUGUAUGGCUACACGUUUCGCAAGAUAAAGACUGCGGCUUCGGCCAAGGUCAAUUCAUGUUAAAGAGGUGCCGAGAAAAGUAUAAUAACGCUAGGCUAUAUUAAUUCGUACCAAAACCGACACAGGUGGGUAGGUCGAGAAGACCAAGGCGCACGAGAGAAACAUGGUUUAGGAACUCGGCAAACAAGCGGCCGUAACUUCGGGAUAAGGCCUGCCCCUAUUUAUAGGGGCCACAGCAAAAGACUUCAUGCGACUGUUUACCAAAAACACAGCUCCCUGCAAAAGCGAAAGCUGAAGUAUAGGGGGCGAUGCCUGGCCAGUGUCAGAACGUUAAGGGGAGAGGUUAUCCCGUCGCUCUCGAGCGACAGGAGAAGCUUUGAUCUGAAGCGCUGAUGAACGCCGGCGAUAACUAUAAUCGUCCUAAGGUUUCCGAGGGGAUGAAAAUCAUCUCGGAAAGGACUGGGACGAUUAUAUGUAGUUCGUUGCCUAAUCUUUCAGUAAUGAAAGAGGUGUCCUAAAAAAAAGUUGGCUAUAUGCUGGAAAAUCUGGUGUAUCUAGCAUUACUAUGGUAAAAUAAAUUGACAAGGUAAGAAUAUUCCUUGUCUAAAUAAUCAUAGUGAUAAUAUGACUAGUGCAGAAAACCAGCAGGAAAGACUUACUAAGCUUGGGUGGAUAGUGGGAUUUGUUGACGGAGAAGGAUGCUUUUCAGUCGGAUUGAUAAAACAGUCUGACAGAAAAGAGAAGUCCAGAAUAAGAAAGGGAUACAAAACCGGCUAUCAACCGUUUAUUGAGUUUGCGGUUACACAAGGUGAAAAGAGUUUAGACUCUUUAAAAAUUCUUAAAGAAUACUUUGGUGUAGGAAAUAUUUAUCCAAAUCGCAGACACGAUAAUCAUAAGGAAAAUCUUUAUAGAUUUGUGGUUAGAAAAAGGGAAGAUUUACUAAAAGUAAUAAUUCCUUUUUUCAAGAAAUAUAAAAUGAAAACCGCAAAACGAGAAGAUUUCGAGAAAUUUGUUGAGUGUGUGCUAUUAGUAGAAAAUAAAGAACAUCUGACAACAGAUGGAAUGAUAAAAAUAGCUAAAAUCGCAUCAACAAUGAAUCGUAAAAAACCAAGAGAAAGCUUAAUAAGAAUCCUCAGAGACCAUACGCCAUCCCCCUGAUAGAAAUCAGGGUGAAGAAAUGGUCCGGUCUGUAUGGCGACAUACAGGUUCUAGUUUACCGUCUAGAACGCUAAUAAAUUAUUAUUAGUAACAUAACAAGCGAAAUUCCUUGUCGGGUGAGUUCCGACCCGCACGAAUGGCAUAACGGUGUGAAGACUGUCUUAACCAUGUACUCGGCGAAAAUGCAAGUGUCGUGAAGAUGCGACAUAACCACAACUAGACGAAAAGACCCCGUGAAGCUUUACUAUAGUUUGACAUUGGUAUAUUGUUUUAUUUGUUCAGCAUAGGUGGGAGCCUUCGGGCGCCAGUGAGAUACCACCCUUAUAAUGCGAUGUACCUAAUCUUCUGGUCUGAAUCGGCUGGAGGAGACAGUGUCUGAUGGGUAGUUUAACUGGGGCGGUUGCCUCCCAAAUUAUAACGGAGGCGUUUACAAAGGUUGGCUUAUCCCGGAUGGAAAUCGGGAUGGACGUGCAAACGCAAAAGCCAGCUUUACUGCAAGGGCUACCACCCGAGCAGUUGCGAAAGCAGAAGUUAGUGAUCCGACCGUACGACAUAGGACGGCGGAAGCUCAACGGAUAAAAGCUACUCCGGGGAUAACAGGCUGAUCGCGCCCAAGCGUCCACAGCGACGGCGCGGUUUGGCACCUCGAUGUCGGCUCAUCGCAUCCUGGGGCUGGAGAAGGUCCCAAGGGUUUGGCUGUUCGCCAAUUAAAGCGGUA
RNAcentral lists this ribosomal RNA (3645 nucleotides) under Candidatus Magasanikbacteria bacterium RIFOXYA2_FULL_40_20. RNAcentral describes it as "bacterial LSU rRNA". It matches the Rfam family "Bacterial large subunit ribosomal RNA", at positions 1 to 2598 of the family's 2925-position model. Lineage: Bacteria; Candidatus Magasanikiibacteriota. The record is from RNAcentral.